This 464-nucleotide ribosomal RNA is filed under the name uncultured bacterium. RNAcentral's name for it is "partial 16S ribosomal RNA". It matches the Rfam family "Bacterial small subunit ribosomal RNA", at positions 339 to 795 of the family's 1533-position model. The record is from RNAcentral.
CUACGGGGGGCUGCAGUGGGGAAUAUUGGACAAUGGGGGAAAUCCUGAUCCAGCAAUGCCGCGUGUGUGAAGAAGGCCUGCGGGUUGUAAAGCACUUUCGGUUGGGAGGACUGCUUCUAGCACUAAUAUUGUUGGAAGUUGACGUUACCUUCAGAAGAAGCACCGGCUAACUCCGUGCCAGCAGCCGCGGUAAUACGGGGGUGCAAGCGUUAAUCGGAAUUACUGGGCGUAAAGCGCGCGUAGGCGGCUAGAUCAGUCGGGUGUGAAAGCCCCGGGCUUAACCUGGGAACUGCAUCCGAUACUGUCUAGCUUGAGUACAGGAGAGGAGAGUGGAAUUCCACAUGUAGCGGUGAAAUGCGUAGAUAUGUGGAGGAACACCAAUGGCGAAGGCAGCUCUCUGGCCUGAUACUGACGCUGAGGUGCGAAAGCGUGGGGAGCAAACAGGAUUAGAUACCCCUGUAGUC